This 207-nucleotide ribosomal RNA is filed under the name uncultured bacterium. RNAcentral describes it as "partial 16S ribosomal RNA". It matches the Rfam family "Bacterial small subunit ribosomal RNA", at positions 568 to 774 of the family's 1533-position model. The record is from RNAcentral.
UGUGCAGGCGGUUCGGUAAGUUGGGUGUGAAAUCUCCCGGCUCAACUGGGAGAGGUCGCUCAAGACUGUCGGACUGGAGGGCAGGAGAGGGAGGUGGAAUUCCCGGUGUAGUGGUGAAAUGCGUAGAUAUCGGGAGGAACACCAGUGGCGAAAGCGGCCUCCUGGACUGUACCUGACGCUGAGACACGAAAGCUAGGGGAGCGAACG